Hevea brasiliensis (rubber tree) is the source of this 1782-nucleotide long non-coding RNA. RefSeq lists it as uncharacterized. The record is from RefSeq and is a predicted model, not a curated record. Lineage: Eukaryota; Viridiplantae; Streptophyta; Magnoliopsida; Malpighiales; Euphorbiaceae. The transcript is spliced from 3 exons.
GGAGUCAUGAGAUUUGGAAAGAAGGGCAAGUUGGCACCUCGGUAUAUUGGACCUUUUGAGGUUACGGAUAGAGUUGGAGCAGUUGCCUACCGGUUGGAGCUACCACCCAACCUUUCUCACGUUCAUCCCGUGUUUCACAUCUCCAUGCUCAGGAAAUACAUUCCCGAUCCUUCUCAUGUAUUGCAGCCGGAUGUGAUAGAGCUAAAAGAGAACUUGACAUUUGAGGAGCAGCCUGUAGCCAUAGUGGACUACCAAGUGAGACAGCUGAGAUCAAAACAGAUCCCUAUGGUUAAGGUUUUGUGGAGGAGUCAGUCAGUGGAAGAGUGCACCUGGGAGUCAGAACGGGACAUGCGUAGCAAGUACCCUUAUCUGUUCAAUGUGUAAUAAUGUACUUUAUUCUGCCUUGUAUAAAAUUCGAGGACGAAUUUUCUGUAAGGGGGGAAGAAUGUAACACCCCUGAUUUUUUUAUAUAUUAUUAUUGGGUUUCGUGUAGGUAUCCUCAAUUCGCGGAAAUUCGACAGUUGUCCGGAUCUGUGAAUUUCCGGCCAGACAGACCAGCUACCGGAAAAGUCUCCGAAUUGGAUCGAGGUUUUGGCUACCCCACCAUUGUCAGGCAUCCCGAGCGCAUUCCCGAAGUCGGAAUCGGCAAAGGUGAGCCGGGACAGCCUUCUUCCUCCGCCCAGCCGCCACAGUGAUUGCCGUCAAGUCUGCUACAGGAGGAUUUUAUUGUGGUUAACCUGCUUUUCUCCUUCGCAGGUUGUUUAUCAAUAGUUUUGUAAUUUUAUUUACUCCUAGAAUUUCCGCAUGUGUUAGAAAUAUUUAAAUGAUUCGGGUCUGUAAUAUAAAAUGUCAUGUGGACCUGUAAAAUUAUAUGCAUGUUUGAUGGAUUGGAUGAGGGAGCUGAGCUCCCUUUUAUUUUUAUGCCGAUAUGAGUAUGUGGAGGGUGAGCUGAGCUCCCCAAUUAAUGAUAUAUUUUGUUUACAGGUCGGGUGAGUCAAAAACUCCCCGUUGAAAGGUCCACUUUAUGGCCGGACUCUGUCCGGUUGGUUUCUUGAAAUUGGGCCCAAAUGGGCCUUAGAGUUGGGUUAAUGAACAGUUAGGCUUAUUACGGGCCUCGGGGGCUUUAGGCUGGCCGAGGUCCUAGUGCCGGUCCGGCCCAUAGGUUGGGUCGUGACAAUUAUUAAAGAGAUCAUUAAAAUAAUUUCUCCAUCUUUCUUUAAUGUCCUCAUCUUUCACCAACACUUUUCCUUUUUUAUCCUUAAUGCACCUAACUUGAUUGAGAUCUUGACAUUUCCUUUCUCUCCUCCUUGCUAAUCUAUAAAUAUAUUGCUCCCCUUUUUUAGUUCCAAGUUUCUUAUAUAACUUUUCAAAGGCCUGCGCCCUUGUUUGACUAACUGCCUUUUUUACCUCUUUCUUUGCUAUCUUGUACUGUUCAUAUGCCUCAUUAUUAUCACAUUUAAAUAAUUUCUUAUACCAUUCCCUUUUUCUCUUCACUGCGUUUUGUACUUUUUCAUUCUACCACUAUCUCUCUUUUGAGGGUGGUCUAUAUCCUUUAGACUCUCCAAAUACUUUUCUAGCUACUUCUCUAAAUAAUAAAAACAGUGAUACAAAAUAAUAUUACAAAUUAAGAUUAUAAUAUAGAAACAAUAAAAAUAUUAAUAAACAAUUUAAAAUUAAACCUAGUAUUUAAAAAAAUGAUAGCAUUAUUUAUUUUAAUUAUAUUCAAAAAAAUUAAGAUAAAAUUAAAAUAAUAAAAAUUCAAACAAAAGAAUUUUAUUUAAA